AAUUAACACUAAAGUUUGGUUUAGUGACUAAACUAAUAUAUAAUUUUAUAUAUUUAAAUAGUUUAAACUUAACUUAGGUUUUCAAGAUUGUAUGCUUUUACUUUUUGCUGUACAAUGAUUAAAAUUGCAUUAGAGUUUUAACAUUUUACAUAAUAAUAUUACAAUAAAUUAAAACAUUUUUGUAUUGAAAUAGGUAAUAUUUGAAUUAUAAAGGUAACAUGUAAUAUCUAUUGAAAAUUAAUUUUUAUUUAUCUGAGUAUUUUUUUUCUUCUAAGUAUUGAUAUUGAUGGAGAGUUCUGGAUGUUUAAUUCUUCACGUGUUGAACCAAGAUCGGUCGAAAAAAAAAGUGGUUGUGUACAAGUACAAUCAAGGCAAAGCUGGAUUCUUAUCAUCAGUAUGAGUUUACAUUGUUUUGUCUGUGGAAAGUCCUUUGGUGCUCUAAACAUUAUGGUAUGGCAUU
Molecule: long non-coding RNA, 460 nt
Organism: Hydra vulgaris (swiftwater hydra)
Lineage: Eukaryota; Metazoa; Cnidaria; Hydrozoa; Anthoathecata; Hydridae
Source: RefSeq, a predicted model, not a curated record